RNAcentral lists this long non-coding RNA (242 nucleotides) under Elaeis guineensis (African oil palm). Its description in RNAcentral is "long non-coding RNA (EGUI_LNC072638)". Lineage: Eukaryota; Viridiplantae; Streptophyta; Magnoliopsida; Arecales; Arecaceae. The record is from RNAcentral.
GUUUCUUCUUCAUCUUCUUCUUUUGUUUUUGGGCUAAUGCCUCCUAUGUGGCUACCACAAAAUAAAAGGCCAUAGGUAAAGUCACAUAUGGAUCCUUAACAUCAUCCAUACGUCCCAGCAGGAGCAUGAUCACGGUGCCCUACUCCUUUGCAAGCAUGUCAACUUUAUCUCCCUAAACCCCUCCAAAUGAGAAAUUAUAUCCUACAUCAACUACAACACCAUACGGUGGUGCACCACACCAA